Molecule: long non-coding RNA, 433 nt
Filed under: Rosa chinensis
Lineage: Eukaryota; Viridiplantae; Streptophyta; Magnoliopsida; Rosales; Rosaceae
Description: sRNA RchiOBHm_Chr2g0111841
Source: RNAcentral
CGUAAUCUCCGAGGUACGAUAAACCGGGACGUAAAUACUUCCCAUCUUUGAUGACCGUGUUGAUUGUUACGCGAUAGGCGAAUGAAAAACGCUCAAACCAGCUGCCUCGUCAAUCAUAAAGUUGACGUAGUCUUUGAAACCGCCGAUAUCAGCCAUUGCUUUCUUCAAAACUUUGUUGGUUCUCUUGUUAGUACGAAUUACCGCUACACAAAAGGGGGGGUGGACAACUCAUCAGUGUGCCAUCAACUGCAGCAGUGUAGCACAGUUCCAAAGACAAGUCUAACUUAUCGGGCUCACAGGUCAGGCGCAGAUGAAUAAGCAACGACCAGUACGAUAGGACGCUUAAAUCUAGACAACUUUUGUGGGUCCAACAGUAGUGCACCCGACACACUCUCUGUCGCUCAAUGUCCGUCAACUUCGGUAUCCAACCCUC